CCUACGGGAGGCUGCAGUGAGGAAUAUUGGUCAAUGGACGAAAGUCUGAACCAGCCAAGUAGCGUGAAGGAUGACGGCCCUAUGGGUUGUAAACUUCUUUUAUAUGGGAAUAAAAUGUUCCACGUGUGGGAUUUUGUAUGUACCAUAUGAAUAAGGAUCGGCUAACUCCGUGCCAGCAGCCGCGGUAAUACGGAGGAUCCGAGCGUUAUCCGGAUUUAUUGGGUUUAAAGGGAGCGUAGGUGGAUUGUUAAGUCAGUUGUGAAAGUUUGCGGCUCAACCGUAAAAUUGCAGUUGAAACUGGCAGUCUUGAGUACAGUAGAGGUGGGCGGAAUUCGUGGUGUAGCGGUGAAAUGCUGAGAUAUCACGAAGAACUCCGAUUGCGAAGGCAGCUCACUGGACUGCAACUGACACUGAGGCUCGAAAGUGUGGGUAUCGAACAGGAUUAGAUACCCUUGUAGUC
Molecule: ribosomal RNA, 460 nt
Filed under: uncultured bacterium
Lineage: Bacteria
Description: partial 16S ribosomal RNA
Rfam family: Bacterial small subunit ribosomal RNA
Source: RNAcentral